GCUAACUGGGUGCCAGCAGCCGGGGGAAUACGAAGGUGGCAAGCGGUGUUCGGAGUGACUGGGCGUACAGGGAGCGUAGGCGGUUGGAUAAGCCCUCCGUGAAAUCUCCAGGCUUAACCUGGAAAGUGCAGAGGGGACUGUUCAGCUAGAGGAUGGGAGAGGAGCGCGGAAUUCCCGGUGUAGCGGUGAAAUGCGUAGAGAUCGGGAGGAAGGCCGGUGGCGAAGGCGGCGCUCUGGAACAUUUCUGACGCUGAGGCUCGAAAGCGUGGGGAGCAAACAGGAUUAGAUACCCCAGUAGUC
Molecule: ribosomal RNA, 300 nt
Filed under: uncultured Desulfurococcus sp.
Lineage: Archaea; Thermoproteati; Thermoproteota; Thermoprotei; Desulfurococcales; Desulfurococcaceae
Description: bacterial SSU rRNA
Rfam family: Bacterial small subunit ribosomal RNA
Source: RNAcentral